AAAGAUUUUUGGUGAAAGUCCCAUAUUUUUUGGAUUAAAAAUGAAAUUAAUAUGAAUUAAUCAAAAUAAAUGGAUUAAAUAAAAAAUCAGAAAAUAAAAAGAAAUUCAAAAAAACAAGGGCCAUCAGAUCUCCCUCAUUAAUUGAGGUAUAUUUUUUGGAUUAAAAAUGAAAUUAAUAUGAAUUAAUCAAAAUAAAUGGAUUAAAUAAAAAAUCAGAAAAUAAAAAGAAAUUCAAAAAAACAAGGGCCAUCAGAUCUCCCUCAUUAAUUGAGGUGGAAGAUCUGAU
This 286-nucleotide long non-coding RNA is filed under the name Lathyrus oleraceus (garden pea). RNAcentral describes it as "Pisum sativum (pea) long non-coding RNA (PSAT_LNC039714)". Lineage: Eukaryota; Viridiplantae; Streptophyta; Magnoliopsida; Fabales; Fabaceae. The record is from RNAcentral.